GAGGCACCCUUAUGGGGCAAGACUUGAUUUAGUGAGGCUUUGGUGCUCGCUGAGUCUGCUUCGUGAGUGUGUUCCU
RNAcentral lists this microRNA precursor (76 nucleotides) under Myotis davidii. Its description in RNAcentral is "mir-9229 microRNA precursor family". It matches the Rfam family "mir-9229 microRNA precursor family". The record is from Rfam by way of RNAcentral. Lineage: Eukaryota; Metazoa; Chordata; Mammalia; Chiroptera; Vespertilionidae.